GAGCAAACAGGAUUAGAUACCCUGGUAGUCCACGCCGUAAACGAUGAGUGCUAGGUGUUGGGGGUCAAACCUCGGUGCCGCAGCUAACGCAUUAAGCACUCCGCCUGGGGAGUACGUACGCAAGUAUGAAACUCAAAGGAAUUGACGGGGACCCGCACAAGCAGCGGAGCAUGUGGUUUAAUUCGAAGCAACGCGAAGAACCUUACCAGGGCUUGACAUGCCCCUGACCGUCCCAGAGAUGGGAUUUCACCUUCGGGUGCAGGGGACACAGGUGGUGCAUGGUUGUCGUCAGCUCGUGUCGUGAGAUGUUGGGUUAAGUCCCGCAACGAGCGCAACCCUUGCCUUUAGUUGCUACCAUUAAGUUGAGAACUCUAGAGGGACUGCCGAUGAUAAAUCGGAGGAAGGUGGGGAUGACGUCAAAUCAUCAUGCCCUUUAUGUCCUGGGCUACACACGUGCUACAAUGGUCGGUACAACGAGCAGCUACCUAGCGAUAGGAUGCAAAUCUCUAAAAGCCGAUCCCAGUUCGGAUUGCAGGCUGCAACUCGCCUGCAUGAAGUCGGAGUUGCUAGUAAUCGCGAAUCAGAA
RNAcentral lists this ribosomal RNA (586 nucleotides) under Tissierella sp. ASSH103. RNAcentral describes it as "bacterial SSU rRNA". It matches the Rfam family "Bacterial small subunit ribosomal RNA", at positions 766 to 1354 of the family's 1533-position model. Lineage: Bacteria; Bacillati; Bacillota; Tissierellia; Tissierellales; Tissierellaceae. The record is from RNAcentral.